RNAcentral lists this ribosomal RNA (140 nucleotides) under uncultured bacterium. RNAcentral describes it as "partial 16S ribosomal RNA". It matches the Rfam family "Bacterial small subunit ribosomal RNA", at positions 355 to 509 of the family's 1533-position model. The record is from RNAcentral.
UCGGGAAUAUUGCGCAAUGGAGGAAACUCUGACGCAGUGACGCCGCGUGCAGGAAGAAGGUUUUCGGAUUGUAAACUGCUUUAGACAGGGAAGAAAGAAAUGACGGUACCUGUAGAAUAAGCUCCGGCUAACUACGUGCC